Molecule: transfer-messenger RNA, 415 nt
Filed under: Minisyncoccota bacterium
Lineage: Bacteria; Bacillati; Minisyncoccota
Also listed under: 1 other name
Rfam family: transfer-messenger RNA
About the family: Bacterial tmRNA, also known as 10Sa RNA or SsrA, is named for its dual tRNA and mRNA-like properties.
Source: RNAcentral
GGGGGUGACCGGUUUUGACGGUCUUGUACUUUGAAAGACGUGCGACGCGAUGGAAGCUUGCUGACCAUCUAAAAACACAAGCACCAAUACGUGCAAACACUACUGUUGCACGCGCAAAGAGCAUCCUCUCACCUUUUCAGAUGAAGGACUUUGCGUUCGCCUACGCUCGCGCUUAAACGCCCCAGUGUAGUCGACGUCUCACCAUCUCCGGUUUCUGUAGCGGGAUGAUGGGGCGGAAUCUUCUACAGAAUCGAUAUCAGCUCGCCUUGACUGCGUAUCUAAAUUAAGAGGCUCGGACAGAUGAGGCUUAGUCUUCAUUCCUACUCACUGUCGACACCCGAAAAAAGACUACGCGUCGUAGACUCGCUUUCAAAGCUCGAUUCGGACGGGGAUUCAAUUUCCCCCACCUCCACAA